Corapipo altera (White-ruffed manakin) is the source of this 400-nucleotide long non-coding RNA. RefSeq lists it as uncharacterized. The record is from RefSeq and is a predicted model, not a curated record. NCBI's taxonomy places the organism in Eukaryota, Metazoa, Chordata, Aves, Passeriformes, Pipridae. The transcript has 3 exons.
UUUCUUGAUUUCUGCAAAUAUAACCCAAAGAAAGAAAAUUAACUGUAUUUACUUGGACAUAAGAUAACAGGAGCAGGGAUGCUGUUGCUGGAUCAUUCUAAGGUAUUUUUCUACAGAGGUGACAGUGAACCAGAACAUCAGCUCUAAAUUUCCUUGAACUUUGAGAAGUUUGGAUUCUGACUCAUACCAGCUGGAGAACAGUUGAAGACAUAGUUUGUAUUUACACAUAUGCAGAGGAAAUAAAGCAAUUUUGAAGGCUUUAAGAAGAAAAGUAGCACAAGUUCCCUCACGAAGGAUCUUCAGGCUUUCUAGACUGCUGGGGUCACCUCUCACAGCCAGCAACACCAUUUGGGGGGAGUCACACCAAGGUGGACUGUGAAGAACAGGCCCUCAAAGAUGC